This 253-nucleotide ribosomal RNA is filed under the name uncultured bacterium. RNAcentral's name for it is "partial 16S ribosomal RNA". It matches the Rfam family "Bacterial small subunit ribosomal RNA", at positions 524 to 776 of the family's 1533-position model. The record is from RNAcentral.
UACGUAGGGAGCAAGCGUUGUCCGGAAUCAUUGGGCGUAAAGCGCACGUAGGCGGUCUGUUAUGUCGGAUGUGAAAGCCCUCGGCUUAACUGAGGAAGUGCAUCCGAAACUGGCAGGCUAGAGUACCAAAGAGGGUCGCGGAAUUCCCGGUGUAGAGGUGAAAUUCGUAGAUAUCAGGAGGAACACCGGUGGCGAAGGCGGGUCUCUGGGCCGAUACUGACGCUGAGACGCGAAAGCGUGGGGAGCGAACGGG